AUUGAACGCUGGCGGCAGGCCUAACACAUGCAAGUCGAACGAGUGGCGGACGGGUGAGUAAUGUAUGGGAAAGUGCCCGAUGGCGGGGGAUAACUACUGGAAACGGUAGCUAAUACCGCAUACCAUCGGAUGUGCCCCUAUGGGAUUAGCUAGUAGGUGGGGUAACGGCGCACCUAGGCGACGAUCCCUAGCUGGUCUGAGAGGAGGACCAGCCACACUGGGACGGAGACACGGUCCAGACUCCUACGGGAGUCAGCAGUGGGGAAUAUUGCACAAUGGGCGCAAGCCUGAUGCAGCCAUGCCGCGUGUAUGAUGAAGGCCUUCGGGUUGUAAAGUACUUUCAGCGAGGAGGCGUUACUCGCAGAAGAAGCACCGGCUAACUCCGUGCCAGCCGCCGCGGUAAUUC
Molecule: ribosomal RNA, 406 nt
Filed under: uncultured bacterium
Lineage: Bacteria
Description: partial 16S ribosomal RNA
Rfam family: Bacterial small subunit ribosomal RNA
Source: RNAcentral